This 877-nucleotide ribosomal RNA is filed under the name uncultured Nitrososphaerota archaeon. Its description in RNAcentral is "bacterial SSU rRNA". It matches the Rfam family "Archaeal small subunit ribosomal RNA", at positions 21 to 903 of the family's 1478-position model. The record is from RNAcentral. Lineage: Archaea; Thermoproteati; Nitrososphaerota.
ACCUGACUGCUAUCGGAUUGAUACUAAGCCAUGCGAGUCAUUGUAGCAAUACAAGGCAGACGGCUCAGUAACACGUAGUCAAUCUAACCUAUGGACGGGGAUAACCUCGGGAAACUGAGAAUAAUAUCCGAUAGGCCACUAUGCCUGGAAUGGUUUGUGGCCCAAAUGAUUUAUCGCCGUAGGAUGGGACUGCGGUCUAUCAGCUUGUUGGUGAGGUAAUGGCCCACCAAGGCUAUAACAGAUACGGGCUCUGAGAGGAGAGGCCCGGAGAUGGGUACUGAGACACGGACCCAGGCCCUAUGGGGCGCAGCAGGCGAGAAAACUUUGCAAUGUGCGAAAGCACGACAAGGUUAAUCCGAGUGUUUUCUGCUAAAGAAAUCUUUUACCGGUCUUAAAACCACCGGCGAAUAAGGGGUGGACAAGUUCUGGUGUCAGCCGCCGCGGUAAAACCAGCACCUCAAGUGGUCAGGAGGAUUAUUGGGCCUAAAGCAUCCGUAGCCUGCCGUGUAAGUUUUCGGUUAAAUCUAUGCGCUCAACGCAUAGGCUGCCGGAAAUACUGCACGGCUAGGGAGUGGGAGAGGUAGACGGUACUCGGUAGGAAGGGGUAAAAUCCUCUGAUCUAUCGAUGACCCCCUGUGGCGAAGGCGGUCUACUAGAACACGUCCGACGGUGAGGGAUGAAAGCUGGGGGAGCAAACCGGAUUAGAUACCCGGGUAGUCCCAGCUGUAAACAAUGCAAACUCAGUGAUGCAUUGGCGUAAGAGCCAGUGCAGUGCCGCAGGGAAGCCGUUAAGUUUGCCGCCUGGGAAGUACGUACGCAAGUAUGAAACUUAAAGGAAUUGGCGGGGGAGCACCACAAGGGGUGAAGCCUGCGGUUC